CGGCAACAGCUCAAAUUUGAAAUCUGGCCCUCGGGUCCGAAUUGUAAUUUGUAGAGGAUGCUUUUGGUGAGGUACCUUCCGAGUUCCUUGGAACAGGUCAUCAUAGAGGGUGAGAAUCCCGUAUGUGGCUGCUUGUCUUCGCCGUGUAAAGCCCCUUCGA
Molecule: ribosomal RNA, 160 nt
Filed under: Pleosporales sp.
Lineage: Eukaryota; Fungi; Ascomycota; Dothideomycetes; Pleosporales
Description: partial large subunit ribosomal RNA
Rfam family: Eukaryotic large subunit ribosomal RNA
Source: RNAcentral